This 484-nucleotide ribosomal RNA is filed under the name uncultured bacterium. RNAcentral describes it as "partial 16S ribosomal RNA". It matches the Rfam family "Bacterial small subunit ribosomal RNA", at positions 30 to 507 of the family's 1533-position model. The record is from RNAcentral.
AUUGAACGCUGGCGGCAGGCCUAACACAUGCAAGUCGAGCGGAUGAAGGGAGCUUGCUCCUGGAUUCAGCGGCGGACGGGUGAGUAAUGCCUAGGAAUCUGCCUGGUAGUGGGGGAUAACGUCCGGAAACGGGCGCUAAUACCGCAUACGUCCUGAGGGAGAAAGUGGGGGAUCUUCGGACCUCACGCUAUCAGAUGAGCCUAGGUCGGAUUAGCUAGUUGGUGGGGUAAAGGCCUACCAAGGCGACGAUCCGUAACUGGUCUGAGAGGAUGAUCAGUCACACUGGAACUGAGACACGGUCCAGACUCCUACGGGAGGCAGCAGUGGGGAAUAUUGGACAAUGGGCGAAAGCCUGAUCCAGCCAUGCCGCGUGUGUGAAGAAGGUCUUCGGAUUGUAAAGCACUUUAAGUUGGGAGGAAGGGCAGUAAGUUAAUACCUUGCUGUUUGGACGUUACCAACAGAAUAAGCACCGGCUAACUUCGUG